RNAcentral lists this ribosomal RNA (463 nucleotides) under uncultured bacterium. RNAcentral describes it as "bacterial SSU rRNA". It matches the Rfam family "Bacterial small subunit ribosomal RNA", at positions 28 to 507 of the family's 1533-position model. The record is from RNAcentral.
GAUGAACGCUGGCGGCGUGCAUAACACAUUCAAGUCGAACGGUGAAGGGACUUCGGUCCCGGAUCAGUGGCGGACGGGUGAGUAACGCGUGAGCAACCUGCCUUUCAAAGCGGGAUAACGACUGGAAACGGUCGCUAAUACCGCAUGAUGCAUAUUGGUCGCAUGUCCGAUAUGCCAAAGAUUUAUCGAUGAAAGAUGGGCUCGCGUCUGAUUAGAUAGUUGGUGGGGUAACGGCCUACCAAGUCGACGAUCAGUAGCCGGACUGAGAGGUUGAACGGCCACAUUGGAACUGAGAUACGGUCCAGACUCCUACGGGAGGCAGCAGUGGGGAAUAUUGGGCAAUGGGCGCAAGCCUGACCCAGCGACGCCGCGUGCGGGAAGAAGGUCUUCGGAUUGUAAACCGCUGUAGACAGGGACGAAACAAAUGACGGUACCUGUAAAGUAAGCCACGGCUAACUACGUG